This 429-nucleotide ribosomal RNA is filed under the name Chloroflexota bacterium. Its description in RNAcentral is "Chloroflexi bacterium partial 16S ribosomal RNA". It matches the Rfam family "Bacterial small subunit ribosomal RNA", at positions 355 to 776 of the family's 1533-position model. Lineage: Bacteria; Bacillati; Chloroflexota. The record is from RNAcentral.
UGGGGAAUAUUGCACAAUGGGCGCAAGCCUGAUGCAGCCAUGUCGCGUGUAUGAAGAAGGCCUUUGGGUUGUAAAGUACUUUUAGCGGGGAGGAAGGGAGUAAAGUUAAUACCUUUGCUCAUGGACGUUACCCGCAGAAGAAGCACCGGCUAACUCCGUGCCAGCAGCCGCGGUAAUACGGAGGGUGCAAGUGUUAAUCGGAAUUACUGGGCGUAAAGCGCACGCAGGCGGUUUGUUAAGUCAGAUGUAAAAUCCCCGGGCUCAACCUGGGAACUGCAUCUGAUACUGGCAAGCUUGAGUCUCGUAGAGGGGGGUAGAAUUCCAGGUGUAGCGGUGAAAUGCGUAGAGAUCUGGAGGAAUACCGGUGGCGAAGGCGGCCCCCUGGACGAAGACUGACGCUCAGGUGCGAAAGCGUGGGGAGCAAACAGG